Molecule: small nucleolar RNA, 108 nt
Organism: Zingiber officinale
Lineage: Eukaryota; Viridiplantae; Streptophyta; Magnoliopsida; Zingiberales; Zingiberaceae
Source: RefSeq, a predicted model, not a curated record
AAACUAUGAUGAGGACACUACAACAAUAAACCCUUAAAUCUAUCACAUGCUUCAAAUUGUGAUUCUCCAUCUACCUGAGCAAAGCUUGUAAUUCUAUUUCUCAUGUAU